Molecule: ribosomal RNA, 404 nt
Filed under: uncultured bacterium
Lineage: Bacteria
Description: bacterial SSU rRNA
Rfam family: Bacterial small subunit ribosomal RNA
Source: RNAcentral
UGGGGAAUAUUGCACAAUGGAGGAAACUCUGAUGCAGCGACGCCGCGUGAGUGAAGAAGGUCUUCGGAUCGUAAAACUCUGUCCUUGGUGACGAAAAAAAUGACGGUAGCCAAGGAGGAAGCCCCGGCUAACUACGUGCCAGCAGCCGCGGUAAUACGUAGGGGGCGAGCGUUGUCCGGAUUUACUGGGCGUAAAGGGUGAGUAGGCGGUAAUAUGUGUCAGAUGUAAAAGGCUAUGGCUUAACCAUAGUUAGCAUUUGAAACUGUAUUACUGGAGUGCAGGAGAGGUCAGUGGAAUUCCUAGUGUAGCGGUGAAAUGCGUAGAUAUUAGGAGGAACACCAGUGGCGAAGGCGACUUACUGGACUGUAACUGACGCUGAGUCACGAAAGCGUGGGUAGCAAACA